RNAcentral lists this ribosomal RNA (510 nucleotides) under Prionospio sp. NIBRIV0000900994. RNAcentral's name for it is "partial large subunit ribosomal RNA". It matches the Rfam family "Bacterial large subunit ribosomal RNA", at positions 1826 to 2603 of the family's 2925-position model. RNAcentral also lists the same sequence under 1 other name. Lineage: Eukaryota; Metazoa; Annelida; Polychaeta; Spionida; Spionidae. The record is from RNAcentral.
CAUCGCCUCUAGAUAAUAGUAUUAGAGGUCCAUCCUGCCCAGUGACAAAAGUUAAACGGCCGCGGUACCCUGACCGUGCUAAGGUAGCAUAAUCAUUUGCCUUUUAAUUGGAGGCUAGAAUGAACGGACACACGAGAAUAAGGCUGUCCCAUUAGUACAACUGUAACUUGACCUUUAGGUGAAGAGGCCUAAAUAUAAUAAAAAGACGAAAAGACCCUUUGGCGCUUUACUUCCAUUCGCUUAGAUGUAAAUUAAAUACACCUAAGCUUAGAGAGUUUAGUUGGGGCGACUUGGGGUUAGAAUAAAGCACCCCCUUUAUUAAAGGAAAUAGUCCUUCAAACUUGAUCCACUUGUGUGAAUAAAGAACAAGCCACCCUAGGGAUAACAGGCUAAUCUUCCUCACGAGUCCAUAUUAACAGGAAGGGUUGGCACCUCGAUGUUGGCUUAAGGCUUCUCCAAGGUGCAGCCGCUUUGGUAGUAGGUUUGUUCAACCUUUAAUGCCUUACGUGA